CACGCCGUAAACGAUGAAUGCUAGGUGUUGGGGGUCAAACCUCGGUGCCGAAGUUAACACAUUAAGCAUUCCGCCUGGGGAGUACGGUGGCAACACUGAAACUCAAAGGAAUUGACGGGGGCCCGCACAAGCAGUGGAGUAUGUGGUUUAAUUCGAAGCAACGCGAAGAACCUUACCAGGGCUUGACAUCCUCGGACGACACUAGAGAUAGUGUUUUCUCUUCGGAGACUGAGAGACAGGUGG
Molecule: ribosomal RNA, 243 nt
Filed under: uncultured Eubacteriales bacterium
Lineage: Bacteria; Bacillati; Bacillota; Clostridia; Eubacteriales
Description: uncultured Clostridiales bacterium partial 16S ribosomal RNA
Rfam family: Bacterial small subunit ribosomal RNA
Source: RNAcentral